UCGAACGGUGAAGCCCAGCUUGCUGGGUGGAUCAGUGGCGAACGGGUGAGUAACACGUGAGCAAUCUGCCCCUGACUCUGGGAUAAGCGCUGGAAACGGCGUCUAAUACUGGAUACGAGCUUCCACCGCAUGGUGAGUUGUUGGAAAGAUUUUUCGGUCAGGGAUGAGCUCGCGGCCUAUCAGCUUGUUGGUGAGGUAAUGGCUCACCAAGGCGUCGACGGGUAGCCGGCCUGAGAGGGUGACCGGCCACACUGGGACUGAGACACGGCCCAGACUCCUACGGGAGGCAGCAGUGGGGAAUAUUGCACAAUGGGCGCAAGCCUGAUGCAGCAACGCCGCGUGAGGGACGACGGCCUUCGGGUUGUAAACCUCUUUUAGCAGGGAAGAAGCGAAAGUGACGGUACCUGCAGAAAAAGCGCCGGCUAACUACGUGCCAGCAGCCGCGGUAAUACGUAGGGCGCAAGCGUUAUCCGGAAUUAUUGGGCGUAAAGAGCUCGUAGGCGGUUUGUCGCGUCUGCUGUGAAAUCCCGAGGCUCAACCUCGGGUCUGCAGUGGGUACGGGCAGACUAGAGUGCGGUAGGGGAGAUUGGAAUUCCUGGUGUAGCGGUGGAAUGCGCAGAUAUCAGGAGGAACACCGAUGGCGAAGGCAGAUCUCUGGGCCGUAACUGACGCUGAGGAGCGAAAGGGUGGGGAGCAAACAGGCUUAGAUACCCUGGUAGUCCACCCCGUAAACGUUGGGAACUAGUUGUGGGGUCCAUUCCACGGAUUCCGUGACGCAGCUAACGCAUUAAGUUCCCCGCCUGGGGAGUACGGCCGCAAGGCUAAAACUCAAAGGAAUUGACGGGGACCCGCACAAGCGGCGGAGCAUGCGGAUUAAUUCGAUGCAACGCGAAGAACCUUACCAAGGCUUGACAUAUACGAGAACGGGCCAGAAAUGGUCAACUCUUUGGACACUCGUAAACAGGUGGUGCAUGGUUGUCGUCAGCUCGUGUCGUGAGAUGUUGGGUUAAGUCCCGCAACGAGCGCAACCCUCGUUCUAUGUUGCCAGCACGUAAUGGUGGGAACUCAUGGGAUACUGCCGGGGUCAACUCGGAGGAAGGUGGGGAUGACGUCAAAUCAUCAUGCCCCUUAUGUCUUGGGCUUCACGCAUGCUACAAUGGCCGGUACAAAGGGCUGCAAUACCGUAAGGUGGAGCGAAUCCCAAAAAGCCGGUCCCAGUUCGGAUUGAGGUCUGCAACUCGACCUCAUGAAGUCGGAGUCGCUAGUAAUCGCAGAUCAGCAACGCUGCGGUGAAUACGUUCCCGGGUCUUGUACACACCGCCCGUCAAGUCAUGAAAGUCGGUAACACCUGAAGCCGGUGGCCCAACCCUUGUGGA
RNAcentral lists this ribosomal RNA (1376 nucleotides) under Microbacterium flavum. RNAcentral describes it as "bacterial SSU rRNA". It matches the Rfam family "Bacterial small subunit ribosomal RNA". Lineage: Bacteria; Bacillati; Actinomycetota; Actinomycetes; Micrococcales; Microbacteriaceae. The record is from RNAcentral.